AUUUUAAUUUUCUGAUUUGGAAUCUUAAAGAGUUAAAACCAUUCAUACUUGUGUUGAGUGUUUAGAUCUGUCUAGGGUUGAUUGUAGUGCCACAAAAAUUGUUUUUAUUAUCUAAUGAAAUCAUUCCUUUCAAAAAAAAAAAUUAAAAAAAUAAUGGUGGCAGUAUCAUUUCUCAUACUUUUUUUGAUGUUUAGAGAGUUACAAGUCGGGCAGUGGCAGAUGAUCCGGGAAGCCAUACAAAAAAAAAAAAAGAAGGCCAAGUGUUAGACAAACCCAGCAAAAAGAAACAUAUGUAACAGUGUACCCUACUUUAUUAGGCUUCCAAUAUUUCAAUUUUUUUUAUUUUUAAACUUUUCAAUAAUUCUACUGGACCCACCUUGCUUCCUUUUACAUUCUUUUAUUUUUAUAUGAACCUUACGAUGUAGCAAAAUUUUACGGGUUUAAUUUUUGUUUUGUAUUUCAUUCUUUUGAGUAAAGCACAAAUUUGGGUACUCAAUUCUACAAUUUUUCAACGUUUAGGUGCUCAUUUUUUUUUACCGUUUGGGUACUGAGUACCAUUUUCCGGCCAAAAAAAUUAAUUCCCCCUAAGAAUUAUGUACCUUUGGUUAACAAUUCAAUACCUUGGGUUAACUGAAAGUGAGGCCCACCCGAAUAAAAAAAUGAGCGGGUCAGAAUUUUUUUCCCCCUUUCGUAUUCUCUUCUUCCCUUUAUUCUUUCCUCUUCUGGAAAAUUGAUGUGCAUUUGGUGAAGAACACGAGCAAGCUUGGGGCAAAUCUGGGGAAAACGACACUUAGCGCAACCAUUUUUUUGCGUGUGUUUUGUUUAGGGAAGAAUGGCUGAGGCUGAUUUUCUGACCUUGAAGCUCUGUUCAGAAUUUUUUUUUCUUGUCCUAGAUGACACUGGACUGCAGUAAAGAAGGGGAAGAACUGGAUGAAACAAGAGUUAUUCAGAAAUUUUUUUUUUCUGGGAAAUUCUGGGAAAAUCGUUGGUGAUGAAUUUAGGAUAAGAAAACUGGAUUGUAUCUGUUUUGCUGCUACUUUGUUGCUGCUGUAUUCAUGGCAUUUUUUUUCCUACUUCAGACCUCUUUAAAUAGCCUAAUAACGGCUAGUUUUGUACUGCUUCAAUAGAAAAAUUAGUUAUUGUAAAAGGAUAUGGUUACUGCCUUACUCGUGAGUUAAUUAGCCUGGAAAUAAUUUUGAGUA
This is a long non-coding RNA of Chenopodium quinoa (quinoa), 1202 nucleotides long. RefSeq lists it as uncharacterized. The record is from RefSeq and is a predicted model, not a curated record. The transcript is spliced from 2 exons. NCBI's taxonomy places the organism in Eukaryota, Viridiplantae, Streptophyta, Magnoliopsida, Caryophyllales, Amaranthaceae.